Molecule: non-coding RNA, 171 nt
Filed under: Ornithinibacillus halophilus
Lineage: Bacteria; Bacillati; Bacillota; Bacilli; Caryophanales; Bacillaceae
Source: RNAcentral
UCCAUGGUGACGUGGAAUCUGAAGGAAGCUCGAGGCAUACCUCUGGUCUGACGAACAGAAAUCAUAUAAGAGGCAACGUAUGAGGAUAAGACUGCGAAAGAAGUUAAAGUCCAAUAACUACAGUUUCAUACGGUGUAUAUGUGGCAGAUAGAUGGAGGGAAAGAGUUCACA